UACGUAUGGUGCAAGCGUUGUCCGGAUUUACUGGGUGUAAAGGGAGCGCAGGCGGAAGGCUAAGUCUGAUGUGAAAGCCCGGGGCUCAACCCCGGUACUGCAUUGGAAACUGGUCAUCUAGAGUGUCGGAGGGGUAAGUGGAAUUCCUAGUGUAGCGGUGAAAUGCGUAGAUAUUAGGAGGAACACCAGUGGCGAAGGCGGCUUACUGGACGAUAACUGACGCUGAGGCUCGAAAGCGUGGGGAGCAAACAGG
Molecule: ribosomal RNA, 253 nt
Filed under: Roseburia inulinivorans DSM 16841
Lineage: Bacteria; Bacillati; Bacillota; Clostridia; Lachnospirales; Lachnospiraceae
Description: partial 16S ribosomal RNA
Rfam family: Bacterial small subunit ribosomal RNA
Source: RNAcentral